AGUGAACGCUGGCGGUAGGCUUAACACAUGCAAGUCGAACGGCAGCACAGUAAGAGCUUGCUCUUACGGGUGGCGAGUGGCGGACGGGUGAGGAAUACAUAGGAAUCUACUCUUUCGUGGGGGAUAACGUAGGGAAACUUACGCUAAUACCGCAUACGACCUACGGGUGAAAGCAGGGGAUCUUCGGACCUUGUGCGAUUGAAUGAGCCGAUGUCGGAUUAGCUAGUUGGGGGGGUAAAGGCCAACCAGGUGGACGACCGGUAGCUGACCGGAGUGGAUGGUCGGCGGCCUGGGAGCUGGGACACGGUCCAGGCUCCUACGAGAGGCAGCAGAGGGCUAUGUUAGGCAAUGGGCGCAAGCCUGGUCCAGCCGUACGACGUGGGUGGAGGAGGCCUUCGGGUUGGAAAGCCCGUUUGUUGGGAAAGAAAAGCAGCAGGUUAAGACCCCGCUGUUCUGACGGUACCCAAAGAAGAAGCACCGGCUAACUUCGUG
This 492-nucleotide ribosomal RNA is filed under the name uncultured bacterium. RNAcentral describes it as "partial 16S ribosomal RNA". It matches the Rfam family "Bacterial small subunit ribosomal RNA", at positions 30 to 507 of the family's 1533-position model. The record is from RNAcentral.